UUGAUCCUGGCUCAGGAUGAACGCUGGCGGCGUGCCUAAUACAUGCAAGUCGAGCGAACGGACGAGAAGCUUGCUUCUCUGAUGUUAGCGGCGGACGGGUGAGUAACACGUGGAUAACCUACCUAUAAGACUGGGAUAACUUCGGGAAACCGGAGCUAAUACCGGAUAAUAUUUUGAACCGCAUGGUUCAAAAGUGAAAGACGGUCUUGCUGUCACUUAUAGAUGGAUCCGCGCUGCAUUAGCUAGUUGGUAAGGUAACGGCUUACCAAGGCAACGAUGCAUAGCCGACCUGAGAGGGUGAUCGGCCACACUGGAACUGAGACACGGUCCAGACUCCUACGGGAGGCAGCAGUAGGGAAUCUUCCGCAAUGGGCGAAAGCCUGACGGAGCAACGCCGCGUGAGUGAUGAAGGUCUUCGGAUCGUAAAACUCUGUUAUUAGGGAAGAACAUAUGUGUAAGUAACUGUGCACAUCUUGACGGUACCUAAUCAGAAAGCCACGGCUAACUACGUGCCAGCAGCCGCGGUAAUACGUAGGUGGCAAGCGUUAUCCGGAAUUAUUGGGCGUAAAGCGCGCGUAGGCGGUUUUUUAAGUCUGAUGUGAAAGCCCACGGCUCAACCGUGGAGGGUCAUUGGAAACUGGAAAACUUGAGUGCAGAAGAGGAAAGUGGAAUUCCAUGUGUAGCGGUGAAAUGCGCAGAGAUAUGGAGGAACACCAGUGGCGAAGGCGACUUUCUGGUCUGUAACUGACGCUGAUGUGCGAAAGCGUGGGGAUCAAACAGGAUUAGAUACCCUGGUAGUCCACGCCGUAAACCGAUGAGUGCUAAGUGUUAGGGGGUUUCCGCCCCUUAGUGCUGCAGCUAACGCAUUAAGCACUCCGCCUGGGGAGUACGACCGCAAGGUUGAAACUCAAAGGAAUUGACGGGGACCCGCACAAGCGGUGGAGCAUGUGGUUUAAUUCGAAGCAACGCGAAGAACCUUACCAAAUCUUGACAUCCUUUGACAACUCUAGAGAUAGAGCUUUCCCCUUCGGGGGACAAAGUGACAGGUGGUGCAUGGUUGUCGUCAGCUCGUGUCGUGAGAUGUUGGGUUAAGUCCCGCAACGAGCGCAGCCCUUAAGCUUAGUUGCCAUCAUUAAGUUGGGCACUCUAAGUUGACUGCCGGUGACAAACCGGAGGAAGGUGGGGAUGACGUCAAAUCAUCAUGCCCCUUAUGAUUUGGGCUACACACGUGCUACAAUGGACAAUACAAAGGGCAGCGAAACCGCGAGGUCAAGCAAAUCCCAUAAAGUUGUUCUCAGUUCGGAUUGUAGUCUGCAACUCGACUACAUGAAGCUGGAAUCGCUAGUAAUCGUAGAUCAGCAUGCUACGGUGAAUACGUUCCCGGGUCUUGUACACACCGCCCGUCACACCACGAGAGUUUGUAACACCCGAAGCCGGUGGAGUAACCUUUUAGGAGCUAGCCGUCGAAGGUGGGACAAAUGAUUGGGGUGA
This 1491-nucleotide ribosomal RNA is filed under the name uncultured bacterium. Its description in RNAcentral is "16S ribosomal RNA". It matches the Rfam family "Bacterial small subunit ribosomal RNA". The record is from RNAcentral.